AAACUCAAAGGAAUUGACGGGGANCCGCACAAGCGGUGGAUGAUGUGGAUUAAUUCGAUGCAACGGNAAAACCUUACCUACCCUUGACAUGUACGGAAUCCUGCUGAGAGGUGGGAGUGCCAGAAAUGGAGCCGUANNAGAGGUGCUGCAUGGCUGUCGUCAGCUCGUGUCGUGAGAUGUUGGGUUAAGUCCCGCAACGAGCGCAACCCUUGUCAUUAAUUGCCAUCAUUAAGUUGGGCACUUUAAUGAGACUGCCGGUGACAAACCGGAGGAAGGUGGGGAUGACGUCAAGUCCUCAUGGCCCUUAUGGGUAGGGCUUCACACGUCAUACAAUGGCCGGUACAGAGGGUAGCCAACCCGCGAGGGGGAGCCAAUCCCAGAAAGCCGGUCGUAGUCCGGAUUGUUCUCUGCAACUCGAGAGCAUGAAGUCGGAAUCGCUAGUAAUCGCGGAUCAGCAUGUCGCGGUGAAUACGUUCCCGGGUCUUGUACACACCGCCCGUCACACCAUGGGAGUGGGUGAUACCAGAAGUAGGCAGUCUAACCGCAAGGGGGGCGCUUACCACGGUAUGAUUCAUGACUGGGGUGAAGUCGUAACAA
This 597-nucleotide ribosomal RNA is filed under the name uncultured bacterium. RNAcentral's name for it is "bacterial SSU rRNA". It matches the Rfam family "Bacterial small subunit ribosomal RNA", at positions 897 to 1494 of the family's 1533-position model. The record is from RNAcentral.